RNAcentral lists this ribosomal RNA (1439 nucleotides) under uncultured organism. RNAcentral's name for it is "16S ribosomal RNA". It matches the Rfam family "Bacterial small subunit ribosomal RNA". The record is from RNAcentral.
UGGCGGCGUGCUUAACACAUGCAAGUCGAACGGAAAGGCCCUGCUUUUGUGGGGUGCUCGAGUGGCGAACGGGUGAGUAACACGUGAGUAACCUGCCCUUGACUUUGGGAUAACUUCAGGAAACUGGGGCUAAUACCGGAUAGGAGCUCCUGCUGCAUGGUGGGGGUUGGAAAGUUUCGGCGGUUGGGGAUGGACUCGCGGCUUAUCAGCUUGUUGGUGGGGUAGUGGCUUACCAAGGCUUUGACGGGUAGCCGGCCUGAGAGGGUGACCGGCCACAUUGGGACUGAGAUACGGCCCAGACUCCUACGGGAGGCAGCAGUGGGGAAUAUUGCACAAUGGGCGGAAGCCUGAUGCAGCAACGCCGCGUGCGGGAUGACGGCCUUCGGGUUGUAAACCGCUUUCGCCUGUGACGAAGCGUGAGUGACGGUAAUGGGUAAAGAAGCACCGGCUAACUACGUGCCAGCAGCCGCGGUGAUACGUAGGGUGCGAGCGUUGUCCGGAUUUAUUGGGCGUAAAGGGCUCGUAGGUGGUUGAUCGCGUCGGAAGUGUAAUCUUGGGGCUUAACCCUGAGCGUGCUUUCGAUACGGGUUGACUUGAGGAAGGUAGGGGAGAAUGGAAUUCCUGGUGGAGCGGUGGAAUGCGCAGAUAUCAGGAGGAACACCAGUGGCGAAGGCGGUUCUCUGGGCCUUUCCUGACGCUGAGGAGCGAAAGCGUGGGGAGCGAACAGGCUUAGAUACCCUGGUAGUCCACGCUGUAAACGGUGGGUACUAGGUGUGGGGUCCAUUCCACGGGUUCCGUGCCGUAGCUAACGCUUUAAGUACCCCGCCUGGGGAGUACGGCCGCAAGGCUAAAACUCAAAGGAAUUGACGGGGCCCCGCACAAGCGGCGGAGCAUGCGGAUUAAUUCGAUGCAACGCGUAGAACCUUACCUGGGUUUGACAUGGAUCGGGAGUGCUCAGAGAUGGGUGUGCCUCUUUUGGGGUCGGUUCACAGGUGGUGCAUGGCUGUCGUCAGCUCGUGUCGUGAGAUGUUGGGUUAAGUCCCGCAACGAGCGCAACCCUUGUUCACUGUUGCCAGCACGUUAUGGUGGGGACUCAGUGGAGACCGCCGGGGUCAACUCGGAGGAAGGUGGGGAUGACGUCAAGUCAUCAUGCCCCUUAUGUCCAGGGCUUCACGCAUGCUACAAUGGCUGGUACAGAGAGUGGCGAGCCUGUGAGGGUGAGCGAAUCUCGGAAAGCCGGUCUCAGUUCGGAUUGGGGUCUGCAACUCGACCUCAUGAAGUCGGAGUCGCUAGUAAUCGCAGAUCAGCAACGCUGCGGUGAAUACGUUCCCGGGGCUUGUACACACCGCCCGUCAAGUCAUGAAAGUUGGUAACACCCGAAGCCGGUGGCCUAACCGUUGUGGGGGAGCCGUCGAAGGUGGGACUGGUGAUUAGGACUA